Molecule: ribosomal RNA, 414 nt
Filed under: uncultured delta proteobacterium
Lineage: Bacteria; Deltaproteobacteria
Description: bacterial SSU rRNA
Rfam family: Bacterial small subunit ribosomal RNA
Source: RNAcentral
GGGUUGGGGAUAACUCCUCGAAAGGGGUGCUAAUACCGGAUAACAUUUCGAUCUCCUCGGAGGUUGAAAUCAAAGGUGGCCUCUGCAUGCAAGCUACUGCCCGAGGAUGGGGGCCCGCGUACCAUUAGCUAGUUGGUAGGGUAACGGCCUACCAAGGCUGCGAUGGUUAGCUGGUCUGAGAGGAUGGCCAGCCACACUGGAACUGAGACACGGUCCAGACUCCUACGGAGGCAGCAGUGGGGAAUCUUGCGCAAUGGGGGAAACCCUGACGCAGCAACGCCGCGUGGGUGAUGAAGGCCUUCGGGUCGUAAAGCCCUGUCAGGUGGGAAGAAACCCAUCGGUGCAAACAGCACCGGUGAUUGACGGUACCACCGGAGGAAGCACCGACUAACUCCGUGCCAGCAGCCGCGGUAA